RNAcentral lists this ribosomal RNA (837 nucleotides) under Panorpodes paradoxus. Its description in RNAcentral is "partial 16S rRNA". The record is from RNAcentral. Lineage: Eukaryota; Metazoa; Arthropoda; Insecta; Mecoptera; Panorpodidae.
GAAGGUGUAUCUAGAAAGACAAAUUAGAGCUUGAAAAGUAAAGCAUUUCAUUUACAUUGAAAAGUAUAUUGUGUAAUUCAAUUUAAUUUGAUAAUAAAAAUUUAUUAGUUUUUUUUGUUUAAAAAUUUAUUUAAUAAAAUUAAUUUUAAAUUAAGUUUUUUUUGUAUAGUAUAUAGAUCAAAUAAUUUAUAUAAUAGUUAAUUAGUAUUGUAAAAGAAUAUUGAAAUAUAUGAAAAAGUUUUAAAUUAAAAGUAAAUUUUAUAUAUUGUACCUUGUGUAUCAGGGUUUAUUAAUUAAAAGUUAAAAAUUUAAUUUUUCUCGAAUUUAAGAGAGUUAAUUUAUUAUUUAAUUUUUUGUUUCAUAAAAAUUUAAAAUAAUAAAUUAGAAAUGAAAUGUUAUUCGUUCUUAAAUAUAUCUAGUUUUUUAAGAAAUAAAUUAAAUUUAGAUUAUUAAUAAAUAAUUAUUUAUUUAAAUAAUAAAUUAUUAUUAAUAAUUAAUAUUUUAAGGGAUAAGCUUUAAAAUAAGUUUUUAUAAUAAAUUUUUAAUUUAAAAAUUAUAGGUUUAGAAAUAGCCAUUAAUGAUGAAAAUGUUAUAAUUUAUUUUAAAUUAAAAAUAAUUUUUAUUAAUUUAAGUUUUUAUUAAAAUAAUUUUUAUAAUUAAAUAAGAAUUAAAAUAAUGAUAAAAUUAGUAUAUUUAAUUGUUUUAAAUAAGUAAAUUGAAAGGUUAAAUUAAGGAACUUGGCAAAUAAAUACUCGCCUGUUUAACAAAAACAUGUCUUUUUGAAUAUAAUUUAAAGUCUAAUCUGCCCACUGAAAAAUUUUAAAGGGCCGCGGUAUU